RNAcentral lists this unclassified non-coding RNA (699 nucleotides) under Melitaea cinxia (Glanville fritillary). RNAcentral's name for it is "misc RNA ENSMCXG00005000317.1". Lineage: Eukaryota; Metazoa; Arthropoda; Insecta; Lepidoptera; Nymphalidae. The record is from RNAcentral.
CUAUUAGCGACGGAAUUAAUAACAACAGAAAAAUUUUCAUUUUGCUUCACAGUUCCAAGCCCUAUAGCUAGAAUUAUCAACGGUGUUUUGGCUGUGGUGACUUACAUAAUUCCUCUUACAAUAAUGUUAUUCGUUUACAUUAUGAUUGCGUUCAAAGUGAAUAUUAGUGAGAAAGUAAACUCAAAAAAGAAGAUAUUUAAUCACAAGGACAAUAGGAAAAAAGUCAACAAACUCAUUGUAGCAAUAACGUUCUCCUUCUUUAUCUGUUGGCUGCCAUUUUUCUGGAACCGUUUACUUUUUUUCUUCUGUGACAUGAAACAACUCAUACGACUAGGUCGAGUUUGGGAAGGCAUUUACAAUACAUGUCUCAUAACCAACUGGCUCAGUAUCAUCUUAAAUCCUCUCCUCUUUAGCCUCAUGUCAUCUAAAUUCAGAAAAGCUUUAAAAAUGCUGUGGAAAACCAAAUUCAAAAGGCAGACUGAAAUCGUUUUAUCGUAAAAGUAAUUAGUAUAUUAUAUACGUGAAGAUAUGAUUAAUUUUUUAUGUUAUAUGUAGGCAUGUGCUAUAUUUUUCAUACUGUGCUGUAAAAUACUUGUACUUAUAAUAGGUAAAAGUUUAUUGUAAUAUAAAAACAUCAGAUGAAUCAAGAUAGUGUAGUGGGUAGACAUAUACUGUUAGAAAAAUAAACGAAGAUCAAGG